This 313-nucleotide long non-coding RNA is filed under the name Olea europaea (common olive). Its description in RNAcentral is "long non-coding RNA (OEUR_LNC003899)". Lineage: Eukaryota; Viridiplantae; Streptophyta; Magnoliopsida; Lamiales; Oleaceae. The record is from RNAcentral.
ACUUACAUCAAGAUUAACAAUAAGGGCUGUAAAGUUAUCGUGGAUAGUGACAGCUGUAUUAAUGGCGUUUCGAUGGCUAUUGUAUCCUGCCUAGGGUUGUAGUCUAUCCCUCACCCUCAGCCAUACAGCGUCUCUUAGGUUGAUACCUCCUCCAUAGCUGUCAAGGAGCGUUGUUUAGUCCCUAUCCAAUUUUUCGAGUAUAAGGACCAUAUAUGGUGUGACGUCAUUUCAAUGGACGUCGGGCACAUCAUCUUGGGACGACCUUGGUUAUUUGACCUAGAUGUAACCAUCUAUGGUCGAUCCAAUUCCUGCU